This is a long non-coding RNA of Oreochromis aureus, 735 nucleotides long. The record is from Ensembl. NCBI's taxonomy places the organism in Eukaryota, Metazoa, Chordata, Actinopteri, Cichliformes, Cichlidae.
AAGCUAAAAGAAUGAGAAGAAUCCAGCUGUUUUGAUAACCUAUUCAUUGACGUUCUCCUGUUUGAUUUCAGCUGACAUGCCUCAGCCCCUCCCCGCCUCGCCCAGAUCUGCACACAGAUUUGUCAGCCCCAGCCAUGACCCAAAUCUCUGAUUCACAAUACACACGGAGGCAGUGGUGUUUCAUCAUGUUUACGCCGAAUUUUGACUCUGCCAUGCAAAUGCUGCAGCAGAAAUCCAGAUUUCUCACACUGCGCAACAUUUUUCCAACCUUCUGUUGUCCAAUUUUAGUGAGCCUAUACAAAUUAUAGUCUCAGUUUCCUGUUCUUAGCAGACAGGAGUGGCAUCUGUGGCAUUUGUCACAUGCUGCUGAAGUUCAUCUGCUUUAGAACAUCAGCAGUUUCUAAAACAUUGGCAUCAUCAACCAUGCUACGUUCAGUGUGACUAAAAAUCACCUUUUUUCCUAAUUCACGUGCUUGGUUUUAAUUGACCAUGUCCACACGCCUAAACAAGCAGCUGAAUGUGUGUACCUAAUAAAGGGACAAAGGUGAGCGAGGACAAACAAACUAUCACUCCAGCAAACAAAAUUAAAGUUAAAUGGAAAAAGUCGAAAAGAAGUUUAUGAUUUUAAAUAUAUUUAUUUUUUUUUAAAAAGUCAUAUUUAUGUGUAAAAUCUUUUCUUUUUUGUUUACAAAUAUAUACAUUUUUAUUUCACUUUAGGAGAAAAAUAAAACCGCG